RNAcentral lists this ribosomal RNA (432 nucleotides) under Shewanella putrefaciens. RNAcentral describes it as "bacterial SSU rRNA". It matches the Rfam family "Bacterial small subunit ribosomal RNA", at positions 460 to 891 of the family's 1533-position model. Lineage: Bacteria; Pseudomonadati; Pseudomonadota; Gammaproteobacteria; Alteromonadales; Shewanellaceae. The record is from RNAcentral.
GGCUUAUCUGUGACGUUACCUACAGAAGAAGGACCGGCUAACUCCGUGCCAGCAGCCGCGGUAAUACGGAGGGUCCGAGCGUUAAUCGGAAUUACUGGGCGUAAAGCGUGCGCAGGCGGUUUGUUAAGCGAGAUGUGAAAGCCCUGGGCUCAACCUAGGAAUAGCAUUUCGAACUGACAAACUAGAGUCUUGUAGAGGGGGGUAGAAUUCCAGGUGUAGCGGUGAAAUGCGUAGAGAUCUGGAGGAAUACCGGUGGCGAAGGCGGCCCCCUGGACAAAGACUGACGCUCAUGCACGAAAGCGUGGGGAGCAAACAGGAUUAGAUACCCUGGUAGUCCACGCCGUAAACGAUGUCUACUCGGAGUUUGGUGUCUUGAACACUGGGCUCUCAAGCUAACGCAUUAAGUAGACCGCCUGGGGAGUACGGCCGCAA